Long non-coding RNA from Gadus macrocephalus (Pacific cod), 1023 nucleotides. RefSeq lists it as uncharacterized. The transcript has 5 exons. Lineage: Eukaryota; Metazoa; Chordata; Actinopteri; Gadiformes; Gadidae. The record is from RefSeq and is a predicted model, not a curated record.
UGCAUGUGUGUGAGUAAGGAGCAGAAGGACAGAAGAUUAAUAAAAAUGUAAUUAAAGCAGAAAUAAAGCAUGAAGGAACGUUAUACCGUUCAUUGUGGUCAAAAAAGACGAUUAUAUGACAGGCCCAGUUGUUCCGAGGCUUCUGUUCUUUCUGUUGCUAAUUAUGCUAUAAAGAGGAAGGAAGUCUUUCAAUGUUGUUCAGUUUCUGUUGAGCUCACUGCAUGAACUGGCACCACAGAGUAAAGAACAACAGAGUGAGAGAGGAGAGGACAAACCAUGACAUUAAGAUCAGCAGCAAGAGGAUUUCUAGCUUUCCUUCUAUCAGUACCAGCGCUUCAGGGUAUUCAAUGGACGGUUACUUACUCAUCUAGUAAUGUCUGCGCUUUAAGAAAAUCAACUGUUGACAUCAACUGCACUUAUGAAUACCCUGACAACGUUCUGUACCGCCCUACCAAAGUCUAUACACUGUGGUUUACUAAAGUAUCCAACGAUCAGCCCGUUGAUCUGCGAGGGGAUGCAGACUAUACAGGUCGUGUUGAAUCCAGCUGUGGAGAGGUCAGCUGUAAUGGGUCCAGAUGUCAUGGAACAUGUACCCUGAGAAUCAAAGACCUGAGAGAGAGCGACUUUGCUGUCUACGAGUUUAGAUUCACAACAAACCAACCACGUGGGGAAUAUACUGUUGACCCUGGAGUGACAUUAUUUGUAUCAGAUCUCCAGGUGAAGGUGUCCUUUCCUGACCCUACCGAUCCUACCAGGGCAGAGCUGGAGUGUCACAGUAGGUGUGGUCUAGCUGGGAACCAUCUCUACACCUGGUUCAGGAAUGGAGAGAAUGUAGGACAGGGAGUGAACUCCUGGGUCCAACCUCAGUCUGGAGCCAGCUAUUCAUGUGCUGUUGAAGGACACAAUCUCAGCUCUCCUUUAGUGUACGCUCCAAAGACCCCCUCAGUGACCGUGAGUCCCUCUGGUGAAAUAGAGGAGGGCAGUUCAGUGACUCUGAGCUGCAGCAGUGAUGCCAACCCAGCA